CCUACGGGGGGCAGCAGUGGGGAAUAUUGGACAAUGGGGGGAACCCUGAUCCAGCCAUGCCGCGUGUGUGAAGAAGGCCCUCGGGUUGUAAAGCACUUUCAGUGAGGAAGAACGCCUGGUGGUUAAUACCCAUCAGGAAAGACAUCACUCACAGAAGAAGCACCGGCUAACUCCGUGCCAGCAGCCGCGGUAAUACGGAGGGUGCGAGCGUUAAUCGGAAUUACUGGGCGUAAAGCGCGCGUAGGUGGCUUGAUAAGCCGGUUGUGAAAGCCCCGGGCUCAACCUGGGAACGGCAUCCGGAACUGUCAAGCUAGAGUGCAGGAGAGGAAGGUAGAAUUCCCGGUGUAGCGGUGAAAUGCGUAGAGAUCGGGAGGAAUACCAGUGGCGAAGGCGGCCUCCUGGACUGACACUGACACUGAGGUGCGAAAGCGUGGGUAGCAAACAGGAUUAGAUACCCGAGUAGUC
Molecule: ribosomal RNA, 465 nt
Filed under: Vreelandella stevensii
Lineage: Bacteria; Pseudomonadati; Pseudomonadota; Gammaproteobacteria; Oceanospirillales; Halomonadaceae
Description: partial 16S ribosomal RNA
Rfam family: Bacterial small subunit ribosomal RNA
Source: RNAcentral